AAGUAUCAAUUUAAAGGUUAGAUUUUUUGUAACCACUUUUCCUUUCAUGUAUUGUUUUGAGUUGUUAUUAUGUUUUCUAGGAUGACUUUUUUAGUUUUCAUAGUAUGUGUUUUUAGUUAUCGUUUGGUCAGAUUGAACGGUUAGACGGGCUAGAUGGGUUAAUCGGAUGGUCAAGAUGAUUGAGAGGGUUGGGCUGGUGUGAUCACCAGGCUGACAAAGAUGGCCAAGAUGUAUAAGAUUGAUAGGUUGAUUGAGCUUGUUGGGAUGGCAUGAUGGUUGGCUGAUAGGGAUGACCAAGAUUGUCAUGAUGGAAUGGAUGGUGAUGGACCAGAUGGAAUGGAUGGUCGGGAUGGCUAGGAUAGAUGUGUUAACAUGUAGGCUUCUUUUUACACCAAGAGGGGGGUGAAUUGGUGGUUUAUAAAAAACAAAGUUUUUUUGCAAUCUUGUGAUCAAAGUAUAAAACUUUUCAAACUUUCUUGAAAUGCAAGUAAUGAAAAUUCAUGUGCAGCGGAAAAACAUAGUUGACUGCUAAAAUAAUAAAGUCGACUGAAUAUAAAAGAGAAGGGAUAAAGAAAUUCAAACACUGAUUUUUAUACUGGUUCGACCAACAAUGCCUACAUCUAGUGUCCUUUCAACCCAGGAAGCAAAUGCACUAUAAUGGUCAAAGUUUUUACAACAAGAAAUUUAUAGAAGACCUCCACGUCAAAAAUAUAAAUUUCCUCUCUAACCCUCUAACCAAAAUAUAGCCGCAACAACAAAACCAGACUUGUAGUAAGAAUUCCCUCUCCUGCAAUCUGAAACACCACUUUGAACAAUCCUCAAAGUGAACAAGACUCCAAGAGUCUAACCCCU
Molecule: long non-coding RNA, 852 nt
Filed under: Vigna radiata
Lineage: Eukaryota; Viridiplantae; Streptophyta; Magnoliopsida; Fabales; Fabaceae
Description: long non-coding RNA (VRAD_LNC015393)
Source: RNAcentral